This 498-nucleotide ribosomal RNA is filed under the name uncultured bacterium. RNAcentral's name for it is "partial 16S ribosomal RNA". It matches the Rfam family "Bacterial small subunit ribosomal RNA", at positions 30 to 523 of the family's 1533-position model. The record is from RNAcentral.
AUUGAACGCUGGCGGCAUGCUUUACACAUGCAAGUCGAACGGUAACAGGCCGCAAGGUGCUGACGAGUGGCGAACGGGUGAGUAAUGCACCGGAACGUGCCCAGUCGUGGGGGAUAACGCAGCGAAAGCUGUGCUAAUACCGCAUACGAUCUAUGGAUGAAAGCGGGGGACCGUAAGGCCUCGCGCGAUUGGAGCGGCCGAUGUCAGAUUAGGUAGUUGGUGGGGUAAAGGCCUACCAAGCCGACGAUCUGUAGCUGGUCUGAGAGGACGACCAGCCACACUGGGACUGAGACACGGCCCAGACUCCUACGGGAGGCAGCAGUGGGGAAUUUUGGACAAUGGGCGCAAGCCUGAUCCAGCAAUGCAGCGUGCAGGAAGAAGGCCUUCGGGUUGUAAACUGCUUUUGUACGGAAUGAAACGGUCUGGGUUAAUACCCUGGGCUAAUGACGGUACCGUAAGAAUAAGCACCGGCUAACUACGUGCCAGCAGCCGCAGUAA